GUAACUUGGCUCUGUUUUGCUCCUUCCCACUUCUCUACCACACAGCCCCUCUCUUCCUGGAGGCCCCCAGAAGUUCCAGCAGAAGGGAGAACUUCACUAGCCCAAUAAUUCCAGAAACAGUCUCAGGAUAGAAUCUCACUGGUCAGUCCUAAGACCCAUUCCUCUGUGUGUCCAGGCACGUGACAGAACCCGCCACAGAAAUCUAUGUGUCCGCUCUGACGUCAUCGGAUCAAUGUGCAUUGCUCGUCUGGGGAUUAUCCAUGUUCUACACCAAAAUGCAAGCUCAAUAAGGACAAAGAUUUGCCUCACUCACCGAGGAAAGCCUGUGUGAGGACACAGUUAGAACGGCUGUCUGUGACCCAAAGAGAGAGCCCCACUAGAUGCCAACCCUCUGGCACCUGGAUCGUGGACUUCCGGUUUCCCGAACCACGAGAUAUCAGUUCCUGUUGCUGAAGCCACCCCAUCUGUCAUGUUUUGCUGUGACAGCUUGAGCUGACUAAGACAGUGCUGCGUGCCACCUCAGGCCUGGUGUGAGACCACGUUGAUGUGAGACUCUCCAGAGUUCUCUGUCCAUCUGCUACAGUGACCAGCGAUGGACCAGACGGUAGCCACUCUGUUGGCCUGGGUACCUGAGUGCAGACCACGUGGGGCAGAGCCUCAGCCGAGCUGAACUUGAAGCCUGAGUAAUAGACCUUUGUGGAUCUGGGGUUGUUUGUUAUGCAGCAGAGCCUUUCUCAUCCUGACUGACAAAGUUACAGGGGCCUGGUAAGGUUACCCCCCAACCACAUAGUGGAAGAAUAUCUCUUUAGGAAAAAGCAGGGCUUGCUGUCACUGGCUGAAUUCAGACCUUGUCACUUCUCUGGUUCCUGGAGAAGGAUGGCAACGUGGGAGCCAGCAGAGACCUGGUUUCCAUAGCCGACUCCUCCACACACCAGCUGUGUGACCUUAGACCAAGCACCACCCUCUCUGUGGCUCAGUUUUCUCUCCUGGUAUUUGGGGAUAACAUGAAGUUCCUCCGCCACCCCCAGCACACACGAGUUCUCGAGGCUGUGAUGUGAGAGCGUCUCAGGAGCCUGGGCCGGUGUCAAGAUGGAGCCUGGACUCGCUGCUCUCCUGGGGUCCAUGACUCUAUGCCCUUCCAUUUCCUGGUGCACGUGGCCUCCUGAGGAAGUGGUCCUGGUCACCCAGAAAUGUUAACACCCCACAGGUGAGCAGAAGUGAUGAACUGGUUGUGUCGCCUGGUUUGCUUGCUGUCACAUUUAAUGAGGCCCCAAGCCUGGCCACUCGGUCACUGUCAUCAAACGCCCCCUCAGAGCUAGCACGGACCCUUCCCACUAAGGAGGCUCGUCUCGGAGACUCCAGCCUUCACCUCAUCUUGUUUCUCUUUGUCCUUCCUGGCACGUCCAGGGGAAAGGUGGUGUUCAAGUCAUCUGUCAGCCAGAGGAAAAGUUGAGCUUUGCUGAGGUGAAAUUCUCUAUGGGGCUGCCUUUCUGGUUUGGUCUUUCUGGGCCCCAGAACCUUGACUGUGGUCCUGUCCCCCUCCAGGGGGCUGGGGAGCGCGGCCUGAGGGAGCUCCUAGCCUCAGGCCUUUAGGACGCAGACCGGAUGAUUCCUUGAGAAAGGUAGCGUCCAUCUAUGAGGCGGGAGCUGUUGAUAAUUCCCCGUACAGAUCAUUUAAAACUAAAUGCAACUUUGACUGGUGUCAACGGAGCCUGUGGCCGAGACAUUGUUCACCAAAAAGCCCACGUGCUCUCCUGCACUUCCCAGCCUCCCUUGCAGCUACCUUCACACCAUGUGACUAGUUCUGACCAACAGACUGUGAGCCAGAGUGACGUGUGUCAUUUCCAGGCUGAGAUGGCAAACAGCUGAGGCAACUCCUCCAGCCCUCUCUUCCCCUUCAGGGUGACCCCGGGGCCACCUCUUCCAGACGGCGUGGCUGCAAGAUGAAGAGCCAAGAGACCCACGUCAGACUGUGAUGUGAAUGACCAGGAAAUCUGCACUGUGUUGAGCUGUUGAGCUUUUGGGGGUGUCUGGCGGCGGCCAGCAUUCACUAUCCCGACUGAUGGGGGCCCCAGAGAAUGUAAGCUCCCUGUGGGCAGGGCCUUGUCUGUCUUGUCCACCCCGUGGCUUCAGUGCCUCACAAGCAGGUAGAAGCUGCUAAAGAAAUCUCUGACGGAUGACGGAAUGAAGUCUCUGUUGAAUUUCCAAUGUUUCCUCACUCGGCAACCAGCGAAAGCCCUUCAUCCAGGGGUAGCUCCGACAGAGCUCUCUGUUCUUCUCGUCCUCUUCCUUGCCUGGCUCAGGCUCUUGGGUCCUGCGUCGGAAGGUGUCUGCGGCUCCAGCUCAUACUGCUCUGUCUCCCAUGUCACUUCCCUCUGACACUGGCCUUUCUAGCACUUGCCCUAAAUCUGAGUCUCGUCAACAGCAGUCCUGAGGAGCACAUUGCCCCCCAUGACAUAUCUGCUGCUAACCACUUGCUAGGGGGCUUCCCAGGCCACUUUAGUUUUGGUCUGAGGCCAACACAGUGAUUUGACAGGUUGACGUUUUAGUCCAGAGAUGGUACCACACGAAUGUCCCACGGCUGGUCCUGAUCCAGUAGAUGUGACCGUGCCACUGUGCCUUUCUUCACCGGACGAUGGUCACCUGCUUCUAAACCCAUCAUCAGGCUCAAAUCAGCCUCCUGGACAGACUAUUGGAGGACUCUUUCUAAUGUCAAAACUGACCCAGCCCUCUGUUGCUAAGAACAGUGUAGUGGGAAAGAACAUGGGCUCCAGAACCUGAGUGUUCUGGUUCAAAUCCCUCUUCCACCCCUUAAUGGCUGUGUGACCUUUGAUAAUUUACCUAACCUCUCUCUGCCUCAGUUUCCACUACUGUUAAUGGGGAAACUUGGAGUCGGAGGAAGCCCACCCCCCCAACUCUAAAUACUAGUGUGAUCACUCGUCGAGCAUUGCUCUGUGCUAGGCAAGGCUGUCACCAGUUCACAGAAGAGGGAACAGGAGCCUUAGAAACAUCAGCUCACUCUUCCAAACCCCUGGGAAGUAGACCCGGGUACAACCCACGGCCCUUGCUCUUCGCCGCGCCCUCCAGUGACCACAGCAGACUCUGGACCCUGCUGGCCUCGCCCCUGGCCUCCUGGGAUGGCUCGCUUGGUACUGACCGGCUCUGACAUCAGAAAGCGCUUCUUCCCUUUGAAUUCUGACCCACCUCCUGGAACAUUCUCCCCACUGGCCCUUGUUUUGCUCUCUGGAGCUGCAGUGAGUUUAAUCUGCUGAGUAACUGCAAAAUGAAUUUAAUAAACUCCAUUAAAGUGUGUCAUCUUGUGGACAGGGCGCAGAAUUUCUGUGCUUCAGACUCUCUCAUAAUUACUGGAACCAUGGAAAUUGCAGGGAUCAGAGACUCGCCUGGAGACGGGGACCGACUGUGUGACCAAGAAACGCAGAUGAGCCGAAACUCCUGCACAACAAGGUGGGCCGGGAUCUGUGUUAAAUUAGGGGACGGGCCCAGACCGUUCACUCCAUGGGGACUGACAGCGACCUUCUGGGGCUUGCUAGGAAACGGGGGAGGCGGGGGAGUGGGAGGGGUUGAGUGGGUGAUCGGGUGGCAGCCCACCUUUGACAGAUUGACUCAUUCUACGCCUCAGAGUUCGUCUGGGCUAACCCCAUUUUCCAGGUCAGUCAAUACUCCUCCUCCUCCACCAUCCCUUCCCUACCACCCUCCAUCGCCAGGAAGGAAGAGACUUGUCCGACAUCACACAGCUGGUCCAUGGGAACCUGGGACCAGAACACAGGCUUUCUGAUGCUAUGUCCAGUGACCUUCCCCUUGCACGAAUUAAUCCUGGUCCCUAUCAGCUUUGGUGAACAAAUGUGGGCUCCCAGUCUGUCAUCAGGUUAGCAGAAAACGCCACCACGGCACAAGGAGACCCUUCUUUUCAUGCACCUGUGUGAUGCACAAGAAACAGUGGGGGGGGGGGGUGACAGAGCAGGGCCUGGCUCCCCUAAGCUCCAGUCUCCCUGCCCAGCACCCACGUGGUGGCACUUAUUGUCGCCUCCCGUCGCACCCUGAUGGCAGACAGUGUUGACUGAUUUCGGCACCGUUCCCACUAAAUACGGACCUCUCAAUCUCCUCCAAUACUGGAGUUAACGCCUGAAAUGAAACCCAUUUGCUGUACUCAGUCUUUAAAAGCUCCAUCAACCAGGAGAAAAAGUAGGCAAUUCGUGACUUUUAAUUUUUUUUCUAAAAUCCAGUGUUGAGCAUCAGCCAUGGCCGCAGUGUGGGAAGUGCUGCGGCAGAUUCAUUGCAAGAAUGGCCACAAUUCGCCCACCUUCCCUGUAAUCAAGCCCUUUGCAGCAAGCCUUUGCAGCUUCUUCCAUCAAGCGGUGGAGUUUAUUUCCCCACCCCUCGUCCCUCGGCAGGCCUCGUGACUUCCUCUGUCCCACAGAAUGGGAUGGAAGUGUCAGUGUGACAGUCCAGAGCCUGGGCCCCCAGAAACCCUGCAUUCUUCUGCCCAAUCUCUUGGAACCCCACUACUGCCAUGGGAACACGCCUGGGCUAGCCUGCAGAAGGUGAGAGACCCCAUGGCCUAACUACCCUCAUCAUCCCAGCUGACAGCCAGACAACUGUCACUCAUGUGAGUAACGCCAUCAACGACCAGCCAGCUGACCACAGACAGGUUAGUAAGUCCAGGUGAGAUCAGCCAAUUCUGUCCAGACCAAAAGAAUCCCCCGGCUGUGUUGCAGGCUCAUGAACUAAAUAAGUGCUUAUUGUUUUAAGACACUAGGUUUUGGAGUUUUUUAAAAAGGGCAGCCAUGGCUAACAUGCACUAUCUAAUGUAUUCCCUUCAAUAAUUUAAUGUGAUCACAAUGAUCUCCAUUUUACAGAUGGGAAAGUUGAGGCUCAGAGAAGGAAAGACUUGCUUGAGGUCACCCUGCCAGGAAUCACAGAGCUAAAACUCAGCCCAGGUCUUUCUGACUCCCCAGUGAAUGUCUGAAGUGGCUGAAGAAUCUUGAAGACUGGAGUGGCAAAUAGGUUUCGUUUCACUUGCCAAGGUCGGUUAGUGGUAAUGUCUGCCUGUAAUGGAGUGUUGAAAAGAUGCAGGGAAAUAAAAGAAUACUGUGGUUGAUUAGUGAUGUCUGCCACAGGUGGUGAAUGCAGAAGCAGCAGUGUCUAUGCUGUGCUUUUGCCAUGUAAGUCCUGCAUAGACUCAAACUCGAAGUACGAGAGGGUUUUGGCUGCCACAUCAGGAUUUGUCACUGAGGCAGAGCAGGGUGCAUGUGAGCACCCCCUGCUCUUAGUAAGAUGACCAUGCACUUUAGGCUCAGGCCCAGGGUCCUCUAGUUGUCAGCCAUGCUGCCAUCACUCUCCAGCCCAGGGGGCCAUAGCAUGGGUCACCUCUUAGGGCUGGCGUUAGGAUUGAAAGAGAUAAUGGGUGAGAAAGCAUUUAAUUUCCAGUAAAAAUGAUGGCAUAAGGACAUUUGAAUCCCAUUCCUCUCUCAAAAUCAACUAAAGACAACAACAACAAAAGUUGGAAUAUAGGAGAUUUUUUUCCCUUGAAUUUUUAUUGAAAUCAGAAAUUGCCACAGCCCCAAACCACAAACUCUGAAGGCUUUCUGCCCAAAUACUGUGAAAUCUAGACCAGCACACAGAGGAAAUGGAGAACCCGUGCAAACAUCCCCAGCGUGUUUUGUGGUUAGGAAAGCUGAGGCUUUAUGGGAUAUCCCAAACCUGAAAACUUCGUCCAAAAAUCCUUGGCUUAGAGCCCUGAGACCCAGACACAGCCUCCCCAGAGGCUUUGCUGUGGCCGUACUGACCGCUGGGUAUCAGACACUGAGCCAUGCUCCCAACUGAUGUGGAGAGAGUCUAAGAGGACAGAACUGCAUGGAAGCUGUCAUUUGCCCGAGGCCGUCCUCCCCACCCCUUCCCACACCAUCCUUCACAAAGAGCCGGCCCCAUCUGAAAACGAGCUAAGAAGAAAGCCACACAGGAACUGUGCGUGGAUGCUGCAAAAAGGGAGAAAGGCAACAUAAAGGCAGAUGAGGAAGAUACGCCACGAGAGGAAUUGCCCAAAGGAACAGGGAAAACAAUUGUUCUUCACAGUCUCAACCAAUUUCAAAUGACACAAUGUGUCCUUAAAAAGACUCAAAUAAGAAACAUGAGGAUUGAGAGACGUGAUUAUAAAGUAACAGCGAGAGAUAAAAACAAGCUGGCUGGUCUUAGGAAUGAAAUAGGAAGAGAAGAAAGGAACAAAGAGAUUAAAACCGUGUUAGGCACACCAAUGAAUAAAAUAAGUAUGACUAAACUAUAAUAAGGAACGUUGUGGAUAAGCUAUAGAAAGUCACACAAGAUUAAAUGGCAAAGAACUCUUUUGGGGGUCAAAGAUUGGAAUGAUGAGAGGCGUAAAAGACAGACAAGGAUCAUCCAACAAAUAAACCUUGUGUGGGACUAACGGUAGACAGUGAUGCCCUGCACAAUGAUGUUUCCAUCAAUGAUGGACCGCAUAUACAAUGGUGGUCCCAUAAGAUUAGUACGAUAUAGCCUGGGUGUGUAGUAGGCUGUACAGUCUAGGUUUGUGUAAGUGCACACUAUGAUUUCACACAAUGGCGAAACUGCCUAACAACACAUUUCUCAGAACAUAUCUCUGUCAUUAGGUGAUGCAUGACUAUAAAAAUAUUCAAAGACAUACUACAAUAAAAGUCUAGAAAUAAAUCCAUGAAUUCAUACACACACAACCUUCCAGGAAAAGUUGCUGAGGAAAUAUCAGCUCUAAGAAUCUGAAUGAAAUAAUUGAGUUUCAAAAAUAAAAGAUUUGUCUGGUAAAAAGGUCAGAUCGCACCGUAGGGGAGAAUCAGGUUGGCACAAAUAUCUCCAUGGUAACAUGAGAAGACAGUGGACCAAUGUCUAUAAAGUUCCGAGGGAAAGAAAAUACACCCUUGAAUUUUAUACCCAGCCAAGCAGUUUUUCAAGUAAAAAGGCCACAGAGACAUUCUCAAGUGUGCAAAGCUCAGGAAACGACAUUCAUGAGUCUUCCUGGAAAAAAGGUUCUAUUAAUAAGAAUUUGAAAUUAAAAAAGAACACAGGAAAGGCAAAGAUAUAGUUAAAAAUUAAAAUAAAAAAAGAAGGAAGGCAGUCAGGAAGGAAGGGGGUUCCCCUCUGAGAACUAAUUCUAUUCAGACUCAGAGCUCCCUCUAAAUUGUCAUGAGAAUUGUGCUUCCAUAACAGCAUGAAAUGUUAGAAACCUUGACAAGGUAAUAAUAAUGUUUUAGGAACAGUCUAAGUGUGCUAAUUUUCUAAUCUUUAUUACUGGGGAAUGAAUACAUUCAGCAUAAAAUCAAAACAAAGUGUUUUCUUUUUUAAAAGCAUGACCACAU
Molecule: long non-coding RNA, 7364 nt
Organism: Equus caballus (horse)
Lineage: Eukaryota; Metazoa; Chordata; Mammalia; Perissodactyla; Equidae
Source: RefSeq, a predicted model, not a curated record